Molecule: ribosomal RNA, 429 nt
Filed under: Chloroflexota bacterium
Lineage: Bacteria; Bacillati; Chloroflexota
Description: Chloroflexi bacterium partial 16S ribosomal RNA
Rfam family: Bacterial small subunit ribosomal RNA
Source: RNAcentral
UGGGGAAUAUCGCACAAUGGGCGCAAGCCUGAUGCAGCCAUGCCGCGUGUAUGAAGAAGGCCUUCGGGUUGUAAAGUACUUUCAGCGGGGAGGAAGGGAGUAAAGUUAAUACCUUUGCUCAUUGACGUUACCCGCAGAAGAAGCACCGGCUAACUCCGUGCCAGCAGCCGCGGUAAUACGGAGGGUGCAAGCGUUAAUCGGAAUUACUGGGCGUAAAGCGCACGCAGGCGGUUUGUUAAGUCAGAUGUGAAAUCCCCGGGCUCAACCUGGGAACUGCAUCUGAUACUGGCAAGCUUGAGUCUCGUAGAGGGGGGUAGAAUUCCAGGUGUAGCGGUGAAAUGCGUAGAGAUCUGGAGGAAUACCGGUGGCGAAGGCGGCCCCCUGGACGAAGACUGACGCUCAGGUGCGAAAGCGUGGGGAGCAAACAGG